This is a non-coding RNA of Vicugna pacos (alpaca), 3100 nucleotides long. NCBI's taxonomy places the organism in Eukaryota, Metazoa, Chordata, Mammalia, Artiodactyla, Camelidae. The record is from RefSeq and is a predicted model, not a curated record.
UAUAACUAUGCUGAAUGAAAGAGAUACAUUCAAAACAGUACAUACCAUAUGAUUGUAUUUACAUAAAUCGCUAGAAAAAUGCAAACUAAUCUAUGUUGACAGAAAGCAGAUCAGAAGUGCAGAGAGAGACAGAAGGGAGUGAUGAAAUUCAAGUACAUGAGAGAGAGCUCUGUGAAGUGCCUCAGAUCCGCUUCCAUCUCUUCCAUCGUAAGGUCGUUCGUCAGACCCCAGCAGCCAAAAUGGUGAAGCAGGUCGAGAGCAAGUAUGCUUUUCAGGAAGCCUUGAACAGUGCAGGAGAUAAACUGGUAGUAGUUGACUUCUCAGCUACAUGGUGUGGGCCUUGCAAAAUGAUCAAGCCUUUCUUUCAUUCUCUCUCUGAAAACUAUUCCGCGGUGGUGUUCCUUAAAGUAGAUGUCUAUGACUAUCAGGACGUUACUUCAGAGUGUGAAGUCAAAUGCAUGCCAGCCUUCCAGUUUUUUAAAAAGGGGCAAAAGGUGGGUGAAUUUUCUGGAGCUAAUAAGGAAAAAUGUGAAGCCACCAUUAAUGAAUUAAUCUGAUCAUGUUUUCUGAAGACAUGACCAGCCAUUGGCUAUUUAAAACUUGUAGUUUUUUAAAAAUUAUUAUUUACAGAAAGGAAAGAUCAAGUAUGAAAACUAUAUACUUGACUGCCAUCUGAUAAGUGACAAUAAAAUAUUAACUGUACCCUUAAAAAAAAGUACAUGAGAAAAGUUUUAGGGGUCAUGUUUAUGUUCAGUGUCUUGAUUGUGUGCGGUGAUGGUUUCAUGAAUAUUUACAUAAGUCAAAACUAACAUGUAUUACUAAUCCUAUGUUACAGAUUAAAAAUUGAGGCCCACAGAAAUUACAUGAAUUACCCAAAGCCAUAGUUAGUAAGUACCAGAGCCAGGAUUUAUGAAGUUCCAGAAACUUUACCCUUUCUGCUACAAAUCCUGAUUCUACCAUGGAAAACUGAGAGUUGACUUCAAAUUUGUCUGUUCCUUGGACUUUAUGGCAUCAAAUUAAGUGAAGGGAAAAAAUGGUUUUUUUAAAUGUCUAUGACUCAUUCUUAAUGUAGCCUUUCUACAGUAAUUAAAUUUUCAUAGAGCUAUUUCAUGACUUUAUUAUUAGGCCUUGUGAUUUUUCAAUUCUUUGAGAAUCAGUAGAAUUAUUUUGAUACUUGCUUGUUUCCAAAUAUUAAAAGCUAAAUGAUUUAAGCCCUUUUGCUCAAUGAGUUAGAACAUAAUCUUGGUAUUGAUCACCGUACAAUUCUAUUGACCAUCCCCAGAAAAACCCAGCCCAAAGCUAAAACUAAUGCUACUCGUGGCUUACAUUUGGGUUAUUAUGUUCUUUAAUUGUGAAAAACAAUACAAGUUUAUAGUCUGGUUCUAUGCGACCCUGAAAAAAAUUGAAUAGGAAAAAUUUUUAUAGCUCCUUUCACUCAUCUAAAAGUUAAGAUGUUAUGUUUUCUCAUAGGGUGCAUCUAUUCAUUUGCUAACUCCUUUGUUCAUGUCACAAGCAUUUAUUAAAUGCUUCCUCCAUGCCAGGCAUCAUUCUAGGGAGACAGUGAUACACAAGACAGAUGAAAUGUUUGCCCCAUAGAGACUCUAUUCUAGUGGGGAGGAAUGGACAACCAAACAAUGAAACAGUAAUAACUGCUGAUGAGAAGAUAUACAGGAUAUCCUGAUAGAGGGUUGGGGAAUGUUGAGGUGGGGUAGUAAUUUGGACAGAAUGAACAUUAGGUCUUUCGGCGGAGGUGAUGUCUCAGCCAGGACCUGGACUAUGAGAAGGAGCCAGCCAUUUGAAAAGCUCUAAGAACUACUUUCCAGACAGAUGCAACAGAGCUAGAGGCAGGAAUGACCUUGGGAGGUACCAGGAACAGAAAGAAGAUGUUGCUACAACAUAGUGUGUAAGUCCAGAAAAGGAGGCAAGGGUCAGAUCUUGAGGAUUUUAAAUAUACUUUAAGUUAUGAUCAGUUUCCUCUGAAAAAACAUUAGUGAUAUUACUAUAUUUGCUUUAGAAAUAGCCUUAUUUCCCUAGCACCACAGAGAGAAACAUAUAUUAUCAUGAAAUUUUAAGAAUUUAAAAGUUCCUUAAAAAUUACCUAGUUCAACCCCUUCAUUUUACAGGUAAGGGAAUUUUAGCUCAGAAAAGUUGAGUGACUUGUAGGAGGUAACUCAGCAAGCUUGGACAGGGUUGGAUUUGAGCUCAGGUUUCAGUAUUGCAUGGUCUAAUGCUCUUUCCAGAAAACAGUUUUUAAGAAAACAUUAAAAAUGUUUUUAAAUUUAUGGCAUUACUAUGGCUCUCCUAUUUUCCAUUAGAUUUUUUAAGAAAAAUAAGUAACUAUGAUUUAUUGUUACCAAUAAUAUAUACCAGUGUUUAGAUGUAGUUAAUUGAUUUAGAUUUGGAUUGUACAUGUUUUUUAAAUCAUUGACCAAAUUCUUAUAACUAUUAAAGCAGAAUUAUAAAGAUGUUGGCUUAGUAUCUUUCAUUUCACUUUCAUUGUACCAUCUGCUUAGGUUCUUAACCUGGUGUUCUUACAUCCUAAGGGAUCCACAAAUGGACUUUUAGGUUCUGCCAACCCUCUGAAAGGUGCAUAGCAUUGUACAUACUUGUGAAUAUCUUUUUGGGUCCUCCAAGAAACAGACAUCCAGACAGGAUUAGAUAAGCUCAAUUUAUGGAGAAAUCCCCGUGGAAGAUAAAAGAGAGGGAGCAGGAAUAAACAGCAAUGAGUCCACAAUGCAAGACUGACAUCUGUGAAGGGAGGAAGGGAAAGAAAGAUUGGGUAGAAAGUCUCAGAAUGCAGAGCAGUUCCAAGAAAGGCUCAGCCAGGCUGGUGGGGAGUCCCCAGGACAAGUUGCUCAUUGGAAGCAUUCUGUGUCGGGCAGAAAAGCACUGGCACUAGUAUCUCUGCCAUGCUCAGUUACCGGUUCCAAGCAGCCCCAGGGGAAGUGAGGUUUUGCUGUGAACACUGGCCUAGAUCCAAGGGUGCAGUAGCUGGGGCUGUCCAUCAACUCUGCUCCUAGCAGGAGUUCUCUGGAUGGCGAUUAGAGCAGGGUACUUCCAGGGCCAUCACACCAUACUUAUGUGCAUUCCUUUGGGGAAA